GAUGAACGCUAGCGAUAGGCUUAACACAUGCAAGUCGAGGGGCAGCACAAGGUAGCUUGCUAUCUGGGUGGCGACCGGCGCACGGGUGCGUAACGCGUAUGCAACUUGCCCUAUACAGGAGGAUAACCCGUCGAAAGACGGACUAAUACUGCGUAUGCUCACAACUUGGCAUCAAGUGGUGAGGAAAGAAAUUCGGUAUAGGAUAGGCAUGCGUCCCAUUAGCUUGUUGGUGAGGUAACGGCUCACCAAGGCAACGAUGGGUAGGGGAACUGAGAGGUUUAUCCCCCACACUGGUACUGAGACACGGACCAGACUCCUACGGGAGGCAGCAGUGAGGAAUAUUGGUCAAUGGGCGCGAGCCUGAACCAGCCAAGUCGCGUGAAGGAUGACCGUCUUAUGGAUUGUAAACUUCUUUUAUACGGGAAUAACAAGAGUCACGUGUGACUCCCUGCAUGUACCGUAUGAAUAAGCAUCGGCUAACUCCGUG
Molecule: ribosomal RNA, 487 nt
Filed under: uncultured bacterium
Lineage: Bacteria
Description: partial 16S ribosomal RNA
Rfam family: Bacterial small subunit ribosomal RNA
Source: RNAcentral